This 253-nucleotide ribosomal RNA is filed under the name uncultured bacterium. Its description in RNAcentral is "partial 16S ribosomal RNA". It matches the Rfam family "Bacterial small subunit ribosomal RNA", at positions 524 to 776 of the family's 1533-position model. The record is from RNAcentral.
UACAGAGGGGGCGAGCGGUAGUCGGAAUUACUGGGCGUAAAGCGCACGUAGGUGGCGACGUAAGUCGGGUGUGAAAGCCCCGGGCUCAACCUGGGAAUUGCAUUCGAGACUGCAUUGCUGGAGUACGGAAGAGGAGGGCGGAAUUCCCGGCGUAGCGGUGAAAUGCGUAGAUAUCGGGAGGAACAUAAGUGGCGAAGGCGGCCCUCUGGUCCAGUACUGACGCUCAAGUGCGAAAGCGUGGGGAGCAAACAGG